UUCGCAAUGCCCGAAAGGGUGACGAAGCGACGCCGCGUGUGGGAAGAAGGCCUUCGGGUUGUAAACCACUGUCGGGAGUUAAGAAAUGCAAGGAUAUUAAUAGUGUCUUUGUUUGACUAAGGCUCCGGAGGAAGCCACGACUAACUCUGUGCCAGCAGCCGCGGUAAUACAGAGGCGGCAAGCGUUGUUCGGAAUUAUUGGGCGUAAAGAGCACGUAGGCGGCUAUGUAAGUCGGUUGUGAAAGCCUUCCGCUCAACGGAAGAACAGCAUCCGAUACUACAUGGCUUGAGUGUGGGAGGGGAGAGUGGAACUUCUGGUGGAGCGGUGAAAUGCGUAGAUAUCAGAAGGAACGCCGGCGGCGAAAGCGGCUCUCUGGCCCAUAACUGACGCUGAGUGUGCGAAAGCUAGGGGAGCAAACGGGAUUAGAUACCCCGGUAGUCCUAGCCGUAAACGAUGGGCACUAAGUAGAGGGGUUUU
This 477-nucleotide ribosomal RNA is filed under the name uncultured bacterium. Its description in RNAcentral is "bacterial SSU rRNA". It matches the Rfam family "Bacterial small subunit ribosomal RNA", at positions 365 to 832 of the family's 1533-position model. The record is from RNAcentral.